GAUGAACGCUGGCGGCGUGCCUAAUACAUGCAAGUCGAGCGAACGGACGAGAAGCUUGCUUCUCUGCUGUUAGCGGCGGACGGGUGAGUAACACGUGGAUAACCUACCUAUAAGACUGGGAUAACUUCGGGAAACCGGAGCUAAUACCGGAUAAUAUUUUGAACCGCAUGGUUCAAAAGUGAAAGACGGUCUUGCUGUCACUUAUAGAUGGAUCCGCGCUGCAUUAGCUAGUUGGUAAGGUAACGGCUUACCAAGGCAACGAUGCAUAGCCGACCUGAGAGGAUGAUCGGCCACACUGGAACUGAGACACGGUCCAGACUCCUACGGGAGGCAGCAGUAGGGAAUCUUCCACAAUGGGCGAAAGCCUGACGGAGCAACGCCGCGUGAGUGAUGAAGGUCUUCGGAUCGUAAAACUCUGUUAUUAGGGAAGAACAUAUGUAUAAGUAACUGUGCACAUCUUGACGGUACCUAAUCAGAAAGCCACGGCUAACUACGUG
RNAcentral lists this ribosomal RNA (497 nucleotides) under uncultured bacterium. RNAcentral describes it as "partial 16S ribosomal RNA". It matches the Rfam family "Bacterial small subunit ribosomal RNA", at positions 28 to 507 of the family's 1533-position model. The record is from RNAcentral.